RNAcentral lists this ribosomal RNA (418 nucleotides) under uncultured Geobacteraceae bacterium. RNAcentral's name for it is "partial 16S ribosomal RNA". It matches the Rfam family "Bacterial small subunit ribosomal RNA", at positions 338 to 748 of the family's 1533-position model. Lineage: Bacteria; Pseudomonadati; Thermodesulfobacteriota; Desulfuromonadia; Geobacterales; Geobacteraceae. The record is from RNAcentral.
CCUACGGGAGGCAGCAGUGGGGAAUUUUGCGCAAUGGGGGCAACCCUGACGCAGCAACGCCGCGUGAGUGAUGAAGGCCUUCGGGUCGUAAAGCUCUGUCAGAGGGGGAGAAAUGCAGGUGGUGAACAACCAUUCUGUUUGACGGUACCCUCAAAGGAAGCACCGGCUAACUCCGUGCCAGCAGCCGCGGUAAUACGGAGGGUGCGAGCGUUGUUCGGAAUUAUUGGGCGUAAAGCGCGUGUAGGCGGUUUGUUAGGUCGUAGGUGAAAGCCCCGGGCUCAACCGGGAAAGGGCAUUGUAUACUGGCAGACUUGAGUACGGGAGAGGAGAGUGGAAUUCCCGGUGUAGGAGUAAAAUCCGUAGAUAUUGGGAGGAACACCGGUGGCGAGGGCGGCUCUCGGGACAGAUACUGACGCUG